Molecule: long non-coding RNA, 1116 nt
Filed under: Homo sapiens (human)
Lineage: Eukaryota; Metazoa; Chordata; Mammalia; Primates; Hominidae
Description: PREDICTED lncRNA (TCONS_00002822)
Source: RNAcentral
CACCGCUCCCGGAAGCUCGGUGAACACGUAGUACAUCACGCUCUGGCCCGCCAUGAAGUGCUGCUCCGCCGUCUCCAGGAAGCGCUCCAGGAAGGCGCUGCUGUUCUUAUUUUGCAGCUUGAGAGAGGCUGUGCAACUCACCCACAGCAGCCGCGAUCUGGGCCUCCUCCUAUGUUCCCCUGUUCAGACCCCUGCUCCAUGAACUGGGCGGACCCAUGUCCACUAAAGUGCUGAGGAAGUGACAGCGUGUGAUUUCUGAGGCUAGAUCAUAAAGGGCACAGCAGUUCUCACCUCACUCUUCUGCCUGGGUUACUGCAGAGUAAGCCAGCUACCAGUAAGCCACCCCAGCAACCCUUUGGAGAGGCAUGCGUGGAGAGCAGCCAAGGCCCUGGUGGUCCCCGGCCUCCUUGCCGUGUGAGUGAACCGUGCUGGAAGUGGGUUUUCUGGCUCCAGACCUCAGACACUGCAGCCUGUAUGGCGUCUUCCCUGAGACCUCAUAUGACCUCAAACUCAUACACUGGGUCUGUGGAAGGGAGCAGAUAACCUCUCUGUUUCUAGUUCUUAGACUAAGAGGAACUGGACACCAGGAGCCUCAUACCAGGACUGCCCAGCCGAGCCACUCGAUUCCUGACCCACAUGGCCCUUGAGAUGACAAGUGAUUGCUGCUUAAAGUCACUGAGUUCUGGAAUAAUUUACAUCAUGGCAAUAGGAGCAGUUCACCCAUCUCAGUUAAUCAAGCUCCGCGUCUUCUGCAGACUAAUCAAACCACUCAUGGAACCAAAGAAUGAGGAAAAGGCAGAUGGUAUCCCAGAAAGGUGUCUUCUCCAACAGCCAGAUACUUUUCAUCAGAACAGAGGCUGGUGUGCCGCUGGCUCUGGGCUCCUCCACACCCACAGGGCAGCACCACUGUCUCCAGUGCACACUGCACAGAAGCAGCUCUGGGUGCUUUGGUCAAUAACCCAUCUUCGUGGCUCGUGGAUAUUUCUUGUUAGUCUUAGGCUUCCAUCGUGACCUUUCUGAGUGCCCCUCAAUCUCAUUAACUCCCCUUUCAAGGCUCUGUCCCCAGAAAACAAGCUUCAGGUUGUGACCCUGUUUCCUCACAUUCAUUUCUGAUAC